CACGGGGGUUGCGAGCGUUGUCCGGAAUUACUGGGCGUAAAGGAUGCGUAGGUGGAUACUUAAGUGGGAUGUGAAAUCCCCGGGCUCAACCCGGGAACUGCAUUCCAAACUGGGUAUCUAGAGUGCAGGAGAGGAAAGCGGAAUUCCUAGCGUAGCGGUGAAAUGCGUAGAUAUUAGGAGGAACACCAGUGGCGAAGGCGGCUUUCUGGACUGUAACUGACACUGAGGCAUGAAAGCGUGGGUAGCAAACAGG
This 253-nucleotide ribosomal RNA is filed under the name uncultured prokaryote. RNAcentral's name for it is "partial 16S ribosomal RNA". It matches the Rfam family "Bacterial small subunit ribosomal RNA", at positions 524 to 776 of the family's 1533-position model. The record is from RNAcentral.